CGCUAACAAUGAAUUUAAUCAAAGCAUAAGUACAUCUUUUAAGCAAAGAUUGAAACUUUACUUAUAAUAAUUAAAGAAUAAAGUCAAAAAUGCACGUACAACUAUUGCUAGUUCAUUUUUAUACCAUGAACAUGAAAAUAACCAUAAUAUCGACACUGCAACGUCCUAUGGCCUUCUAGGCCGUCUACAACAAACAAAAUUAUAACUACAAACUACAAAGAAGAAAAAAGAUGAAGAAGAAAAUGAUAAUAAAACUAAAAAAAGGAAAAGUUGUGUUUACCUUUUUGGGGGCAGCAAAAUGGGACUACAAGCUUUUUUUGGAGUCUUGAUCACCACCGGAAAGCAUUCAACUCGAGAACUUGGAUUAGCCCACGAAUUUCAUGGAAAAUGAAAUUUUUUUACUAAAAUAAAAACUCUUCUUUGCUCAAAGCUUUUUUUUUCAACCUUGAGGCUUUUUUUUCCACUAAAAACAAAAUUCAACUAUUUAUUCAAAAGCUUUUCAAUUCUUUGAGGCUUUGAGACUUUGUUUUUCUACCAAAAUAGUGGUAGUAUUUAUAGAAAAGUAUAGGAUCCAUUUCUAUUAAUCUACCAAUGUGGGAGAAAGUUUUUUAGGGGUAUUUUUGGAAUUUAAAAUUGAAAAUAAGGUGAGGUGGAAGAUAAUGUAGGGGGAAAUCGUACAAUAUAGUACAAUUUUUGAAUUUCAAAAAUUAAAAUUUAGAAAAAGAAAAAAGGUUGGGGGAAUUGUACAAUAUAGUACAAUCUUUGAAUUUCAAAAUUGGGAAAGGACAAAGUUGGGGGGAAAUAGUACAAUGUAGUACAGUUUGAAAUAAUUUUUUGGUAGGAAUUGGAUAGAAGUUAUAAGAGUUUUUGGGAAUUUUGGGGUUAUUUAAAAUAUAACCUUAAUUGAGAUUUAAAAUUAAGUCAUAUUUAUUUAAUUUUGACCAAAUUAAAAAAUCAAUUGACGAAUUGCAUUGCAAUUAUGGCCAAUUUGAUUUCAAUUAUGGUCAAAUCUAAUAGAUUGGUUAAAUUAAAUUGAAAUUCAAUACUAAUUAAUACCUCUUUUAAUCCCGAGCUUCUUGAUUUAAUAAAAUCAAAUGCAUAUUUAUCCAAAUAAAUUGUAUUAAAAUCAAGGUUUUAAUCAUUAUAUUUAUUUUCAAAAUAAUCCUUAAUUAAAAUUCAAUAUUCCAUAGAAUAAAUAUUUAAGCAAUCAAAUUAUAUAAUCUCGUAUAACUGAACACGAUAAUAUAUAAUUUCUAAUUAAAAUGAUAAAAUUACGUGCAAAAAUAUUUUAAAAAAAAUUAUUCGGAUGAAAUAAAUAUUUUAAUUUUAUUAAAAACCGAAGAAACUCAAAAUUAAAUUUAGUCGUGGAGGGCAAAAAUUAGGUGUCAACAGGGGACUUGGUACUUCUUUACAGUAGCAGGCUUAGAUUAUUUUCUGAAAAACCAAAAUCCAGAUGGACAGGUCCCUACAGUGUUACAAAUAUCACUUCUUAUGGAGCUAUUGAAAUACAACAUAUUAGGUGGAGAUAAGUUUAAGGUAAAUGGUCAUAGGCUAAAAUUAUAUUUUGAAGGACGGUUUGAUGAACAACCGUCAGUGACACUAAUUGAAUAAUGAAUCAUGCAAUCAAUAAGUCGAGCUGAUGACAUUAAACUCAGAACUACUAUUUCUACCCGUAGCCAUUGAGGGUGAAGCAAUGGAGCCUUAUAAGCCCAGUAAACUUCACGUCAAUUAAUUGCUUAAUCAAUUGACUUGGUUAAUAUCUAGGUUAUUGUACAACCAAAAGAUCUCAUGAAGGCCUCUACAAAAACAGAGUCAUCUACACAGGAGUAAUUCCAUGGUGAUUGGUAUGCCUAUGUAACUGGUUGAUUAACCAAUUAAUUGUGCAUGAUAAUUAUUGGCUCACGUAAUUUUUUUAUUUAUAUUAAACCAAAGACAAAUAAUUAUUUAUUUCUAGUACUAUUAUUCACAAAUAUAUAAACUUGUAUAUGAUAUGUCACUACAGAAUCAACGAAUCAAAACUAAAUUGAAAAGUUAUUUUCCCUUGAGAGAAAUAUAUAUCCUUAAAAUCACAACCUAUUAAAUCUUUAUUUAGCAUUACUUAUUAUUAUUAUUCUAAUCAUUUUUACUCAUAUAAUCAUAUUUCUAUUGUAGAAGGACACAUUGAAGCUCCAUAGAAGCAACAAUCACAUCGAUAUUGAGGAAUAUAAUCUAUAUAUAAAUAUAUAUUUACUUAUAAUAAAUAUAAUAUGUAUGAUUGCAGUUUCUUUCAAGCUUUCUUCUGCAGUUGUAAAUUUGAAAGCCAAAAAUAUUUUAUAUAUUUCUCUUUAAACAUGAUUGCAUUGUAGAAUUUAAAUUAACAAAAUAAUUUUUUUACAUUAUGGUCAAGAUUAUUUCUUUCUCUUUUCACCAUAUGAUUUUCAUAAUUUUUUUUAUUUUUGAUUUUGUGAAGGAAAAAGCAAGCAUCUUCAACUCAAAAAUCUUGUCAAUUGAGAAGAGUUAUGAUCACUAAAUAAGAGGAAUCAACAAAUUUGGCUAGAACUUUCUCUUUUGUUUCUCAAGGCGAAAUAAUAGACGAUACUUAUUUCCAAAAAAUGAUAUUAGUCCUUCUUUGAUGCCAAAUUUUAAGCUCUAUUUCUAUCCACACCCACAUAUUCUUCCUUCUUAGAACCUUUAUUUUGAGCCCUAAUCUUUUUUUUAACAAUCUAAUUCUUAGAAAAUAUAUGUAAGUUCAAAUAUACACAUAUAUUCACUUCAACUAUAAAUGGACAGUAUACAAUUAAUAAAAAAUAAAGAAAAAUAAAAUUCUAAAAUAUAAUUUUCUGUGAGAAAUGGCAAAAGAAAGAAACGACAAUAAAAAAAAAUAGUUCAAGUCUUCUCAAAAAAAGAAAGAGAGAGAGAGAGAGAGAGAGAGAGAGAGAGAGAGAGAGAGAGAAUAAGAGAGAGAGAAUAAAAAAAAAGAAAUGAGAAUGAAAGAAAGUAACUGUCCCAAGUUGGAAAAAGAAAGUCAUUAUUAAAAUAUCCUUAUCCUACCAGUCUGAAGUCUAACAUUACAAGCCUAUAAAGUCCUAAAGUUAUUUCAGAAAAUAGAGUCGGAUCUAUAUUAGUGGAGACAAACAUAAGGACCAAGCCUAUGGACAAAACUGUGAUACUCACUGAAUAAGUAAUCAUAAACCUAUCAAUUCUGAAGGAUUGAAGAGAAGAAGAAAACAAGUUCUUUCUGAUCAAAGCAAAAUUCAAAAUAAGGUAAACAUUUGGUGAAUUUAGAAAAUUUAAUUAAAUUGAGCAUUAUGAAAGAAAUUUAUUCUGCAUAAAUUUUCUAUCCUACAAAAAUCAUUAAUUUUUAAAAUCUUUAAAAAUCUUCUUUUUCCUUGAGAACGAGCAAAAGUUCAAGUAUGGGGGAAUUUGAUGGAUAUAAAUUAUUCAUAUAAUUUAGUAUAUAAAAAGUAUAUUUUUAAAUAAAAUAUGAAUAAUUAUAUUUUAUCCUCGCAUAUUUUCUAACGAAUUCUACAAGAAAAAGAGUACAAAAGAAGACUAAAAGAAGAAAUAAAUUAUUAAAAUAAAAGAAUUCCACGGGUAUAACCACAAUUUCAUAGCCACAACUGUGGAACUCUUUGGGAGAAGUAGCAAAGCUCAUGGGUGAUGAUGAUCUUCACUUCAAAUCUUACACCCGUCAAGUGAAGGAAUGAAGAAGUUACAAGUUGACUGUUACAACCACCACUUCAAAAAAUGCAUUUGUUGGUUCAACAUUAUAAUUUUCUAUAAAUAGAGGCAUUUCUUUGAUUAUUAAUCAUCCAAAAAUUAGCAAAAACAAAGUGUUGGUCUCUUGUAAUAAAAAUAUUUCUUCAAGUCUUUUCUAUAUAUCUAGUUUCUUAAAUUUAAGUUUUUUCUACUUACAUAAUGGAGUGAUCUCUUUGUGUUGGGAGCGUUGAAGAAACUUGGUAUAAUAUAAUUAUAACAAUCUUAUUUUAGUUCUUUCAAGACUUGAUUUUAUUUAAAAUCUAAAUACUUCGUGUUGAAAUACUUUUACUAGAAAUUAGCGUUACUUGAUAUUUUAUAUUAUAGUUAUAGUUAUAUUAAGUUGUACUUCCCACAAGGAAGAAAACUAAAUAUACUAUAAGUAU
This 4121-nucleotide long non-coding RNA is filed under the name Capsicum annuum. RNAcentral describes it as "long non-coding RNA (CANN_LNC002203)". The record is from RNAcentral. Lineage: Eukaryota; Viridiplantae; Streptophyta; Magnoliopsida; Solanales; Solanaceae.